RNAcentral lists this ribosomal RNA (568 nucleotides) under Schizymenia apoda. Its description in RNAcentral is "eukaryotic LSU rRNA". It matches the Rfam family "Eukaryotic large subunit ribosomal RNA", at positions 364 to 1006 of the family's 3401-position model. Lineage: Eukaryota; Rhodophyta; Florideophyceae; Nemastomatales; Schizymeniaceae. The record is from RNAcentral.
AUGACAAGCACUUUGAAAAGAGGGUGAAAAGAGCCUGAAACCGUUACGAGGGAAGCGGAUUGCAUUGGAUUGGAACGGGUGUCUUUGUGUUCAGCCCGUUUUUGGGUGUAUUCACUUUGAUGCUCAACUGUUGUGGGUUCUCGGGAGGCGAUUUUGGUCACCUGGGGGCUGAGGGCUCCCCUUUAUGGGUUGAGGACGACAGUGUGACGAUGCGAUACGACCCGUCUUGAAACACGGACCAAGGAGUCUAGCGCGGUUGCGAGUCGGAGGGUAUUAAAACCCGUGGGCGAAGUGAAAGCGAGUGUAAAAAACAAGCAGUUUGAGGCGGCAUAAAAUCGUUGAUUUUAGGUCUGACCUUGAGCAGUUGCGCUGGGACCCGAAAGAUGGUGAACUAUGCCGGAGUAGGGUGAAGCCAGGGGAAACCCUGGUGGAGGCUCGUAGCGGUGCUGACGUGCAAAUCGCUCGUCGAACUUGGGUAUAGGGGCGAAAGACUAAUCGAACCAUCUAGUAGCUGGUUCCCUCCGAAGUUUCUCUCAGGAUAGCUAGGUGACAAUACGUUGUUUUGUGC